Molecule: unclassified non-coding RNA, 278 nt
Filed under: Hevea brasiliensis (rubber tree)
Lineage: Eukaryota; Viridiplantae; Streptophyta; Magnoliopsida; Malpighiales; Euphorbiaceae
Source: RNAcentral
GUUGAUGCCUGUGAUUCAGGUGCAAUGCCCAUGACUGGAACACUCAUUAAUCCAACCGUCCCAGCAACAUAAUAACAGUAAAGAUAAAGCUCAUCAAAGUUCUUAUAUCUAGACUUCUUCAGAUCCAUCCUCAUUCCUUCAAUCAUAUCUUUGAAUGGCUGAAUAUCAACAGGAAAUUUAGUGACCGUAUCUGAUAAAGCAGCAUCAAGCAUAUCAAAUGGACGACCUUGGAAAAGAUCUUCCAACCUUGCCUCCCACCUAUCUAAAGCUGUUGGCGU